RNAcentral lists this ribosomal RNA (466 nucleotides) under uncultured Allobrachymonas sp. Its description in RNAcentral is "bacterial SSU rRNA". It matches the Rfam family "Bacterial small subunit ribosomal RNA", at positions 916 to 1381 of the family's 1533-position model. Lineage: Bacteria; Pseudomonadati; Pseudomonadota; Betaproteobacteria; Burkholderiales; Comamonadaceae. The record is from RNAcentral.
GACGGGACCCGCACAAGCGGUGGAUGAUGUGGUUUAAUUCGAUGCAACGACGAAAAACCUUACCCACCUUUGACAUGGCAGGAAUCCUAAAGAGAUUUUGGAGUGCUCGAAAGAGAACCUGCACACAGGUGCUGCAUGGCUGUCGUCAGCUCGUGUCGUGAGAUGUUGGGUUAAGUCCCGCAACGAGCGCAACCCUUGCCAUUAGUUGCUACGAAAGGGCACUCUAAUGGGACUGCCGGUGACAAACCGGAGGAAGGUGGGGAUGACGUCAAGUCCUCAUGGCCCUUAUAGGUGGGGCUACACACGUCAUACAAUGGCCGGUACAGAGGGUAGCCAACCCGCGAGGGGGAGCCAAUCCCACAAAGCCGGUCGUAGUCCGGAUCGCAGUCUGCAACUCGACUGCGUGAAGUCGGAAUCGCUAGUAAUCGCGGAUCAGCAUGUCGCGGUGAAUACGUUCCCGGGUCUU